Molecule: ribosomal RNA, 752 nt
Filed under: uncultured marine haptophyte
Lineage: Eukaryota; Haptophyta
Description: bacterial SSU rRNA
Rfam family: Bacterial small subunit ribosomal RNA
Source: RNAcentral
AUCAUUGGGCGUAAAGCGCCUGUAGGUUGUUUAAUAAGUCUGUUGUUAAAGACUAGGGCUUAACCCUAGGAAAGCAAUGGAAACUACUAGACUUGAGUAUGAUAGGGGUAGAGGGAAUUUCUAGUGUAGCGGUGAAAUGCGUAGAUAUUAGGAAGAACACCGGUGGCGAAGGCGCUCUACUGGAUCAUUACUGACACUCAGAGGCGAAAGCUAGGGUAGCAAAAGGGAUUAGAUACCCCUGUAGUCCUAGCCGUAAACGAUGGAUACUAGAUGUUGCGUUUAUUAUGCAGUAUCGUAGCUAACGCGUUAAGUAUCCCGCCUGGGGAGUACGCUCGCAAGGGUGAAACUCAAAGGAAUUGACGGGGGCCCGCACAAGCGGUGGAGCAUGUGGUUUAAUUCGAUGCAACGCGAAGAACCUUACCAAGGCUUGACAUACUACAAAUUUUUCUGAGAAGAAAAAGUGCCUUCGGGAAUGUAGAUACAGGUGGUGCAUGGCUGUCGUCAGCUCGUGUCGUGAGAUGUUGGGUUAAGUCCCGCAACGAGCGCAACCCUUGUUUUUAGUUGCCAAUUUAUUGGGUUUUCUAGAAAGACUGCCGGUGACAAACCGGAGGAAGGUGAGGAUGACGUCAAGUCAGCAUGCCCCUUAUGCCUUGGGCUACACACGUGCUACAAUGGCUAGGACAAAGAGUUGCGAGCUCGCGAGAGUCAGCUAAUCUCAUAAACUUAGCCUAAGUUCGGAUUGUAGGCUGCAA